This 440-nucleotide ribosomal RNA is filed under the name uncultured bacterium. RNAcentral describes it as "partial 16S ribosomal RNA". It matches the Rfam family "Bacterial small subunit ribosomal RNA", at positions 338 to 795 of the family's 1533-position model. The record is from RNAcentral.
CCUACGGGGGUCAGCAGUAGGGCAUAUUGCUCAAUGGGGGAAACCCUGAAGCAGCAACGCCGCGUGGAGGAUGAAGGUUUUCGGAUUGUAAACUCCUUUUGUUAGAGAAGAUAAUGACGGUAUAUAAAGAAUAAGCACCGGCUAACUCCGUGCCAGCAGCCGCGGUAAUACGGAGGGUGCAAGCGUUACUCGGAAUCACUGGGCGUAAAGAGCGCGUAGGCGGGAUAGCAAGUCAGAUGUGAAAUCCUAUGGCGUAAACAUAGAACUGCAUUUGAAACUGUUAUUCUAGAGUAUGGGAGAGGUAGGUGGAAUUCGUGGUGUAGGGGUAAAAUCCGUAGAGAUCAAGAGGAAUACUCAUUGCGAAGGCGACCUGCUAGAACAUAACUGACGCUGAUGCGCGAAAGCGUGGGGAGCAAACAGGAUUAGAUACCCGUGUAGUC